GGAGCUAUUGUUACAGGCAGUUCUUAAAGCAUUCACAUCGGCAUGCCAAGCUCCGGCACCAAGCCAGGUGCUGAUCCCAAAAGGUGACUUCAAGCUUGGUGAGACCGUGAUGACUGGUCCAUGCAAAUCUCCAAUCGAGUUCACCUUGCAAGGCAACGUGAAAGCUGACGGUGGCUCUACCCAGGGAAAGGAUAGAUGGGUUGUGUUCGAAAAAAUUAAUGGUUUUAAGUUGAACGGAGGUGGAACAUUUGACGGUGAAGGCAAUGCAGCUUGGAAAGCCAAUAACUGCCACAAGACUUUUGAGUGCAAGAAACUUCCCAUCGUAUGUGUUUAUGUCUUUAAUAUAUUAACACCAAUGGCUUUUUUAAAGAUGAUAUAAUUCAGUGAUGCAUGCUAUCUUUCAGAGUGUAAGGUUUGAUUUUGUGGAUAACGCUGAGAUAAAAGACAUAACCUCAUUAGAUGCCAAAAACUUCCACUUCAACGUUAUCAGCGGCAAGAACAUGACCUUUGAUAACAUCAAGAUCAUCGCUCCAGCUGAAAGCCCCAACACUGACGGUAUCCAUUUGGGAAGAUGUGAGGGAGUCAAGAUCCUCAACACUAAGAUCGCCACAGGAGAUGACUGCAUCUCCGUGGGAGAUGGGAUGAAGAAUCUCCUCAUUGAGAAAGUUGUGUGCGGUCCAGGACACGGAAUCAGUGUUGGAAGCCUUGGAAGGUACGGAUGGGAGCAAGAUGUCACUGACAUUAACGUUAAGAACUGUACCCUCGAGGGAACCGACAACGGUCUGAGGAUCAAGACAUGGCCAUCUGCCGCUUGCACCACCACCGCUGCCGGUAUUCAUUUUGAGGAUAUCAUCCUUAACAAAGUUAGCAACCCAAUCCUCAUCGACCAGGAGUACUGCCCUUGGAACCAAUGCAACAAGAACGUAAGUAUCUUUUAUUAGAUUCUAUGUCUUGCCACUAUCACCGUAUUCUAUGAAAUUGGAUGGCUCAGCAAACAUAUUAUUCUGAUGGUUUUCUAGAUAUUUAGCAUUCACCAUUUUGGUUGAGGUUACAUAUAUAUGAUUAUGAUCCCAAAGUUUUUUUUCUAUUUGCAGAAACCAUCAACAAUUAAGCUGGUGGACAUUACCUUCAGGAAUAUUAGAGGAACAUCAGGGAACAAGGACGCAGUAAAACUAUUGUGCAGCAAGGGACAUCCAUGUGAGAACGUUGAGAUUGGAGACAUUAACAUUGAGUACACAGGACCUGACGGUCCACCCACUUUCGAGUGCACAAACGUCACACCUAAGCUUGUGGGAACCCAGAACCCAAAGGCUUGCGUUGGACCUGUGGUCAAGGCUCCUGGCAAAGAGUAAAAUGUUGAAGCUCAUAUCAACACACUAGGGCUUCCACAUCCAAUUUUGUUUAUUCUUUUUCUAAUCCUUUUUCAAGUCACGUAAGGGAGACUUUUACAAAGCUGUAACAAAAAAAUGUUUCUAUCCGAUGCCAACACAUAUAUAGAUGUGUGAGUGCAUAAUGAUGUAAUUAAUAAAACUAAAUUAUAUAUUCUGCGUAUGAUUGUUUCUUUUUAAAAUAUUAAUAUGCGCGGUAAGUUGUAUACACUUCAAUCUUAAUUUUGUUUUCUUUUCCGAAUCUUAAAAUUAUUUAACAAGAUCUGAUUUCAACCUUAAGAUUAAUUUAACUAAUACAGUAUUAGUUUUUUUUUUUUGAGAACUCAUUUUAAACUAGAACUCAAAUCAUUUCAAUAAUAGUUCACUAACAUGUAGUAUUCUUUCCAAGUUAUACUGAACUAGAACUCAAAGAUACACUUGUUCAUACAUAACCGAUGCAAGCAUUUGGACAACGAAACAUGACAUCGUCAUAAGUAAUCUGAUUGGAAAUGUAAUUUUCAAUCAAACUUUCGCUCUUUGCUUAUGAUCUCUUUGGAAAAAAUUUCACUUGAUAAUAUGAGGUGCAUACUCUUCCUCUCUACUUUGGUUCAAUGCUCCUUAAACAUGUUGGAUACUUUUUUAGGCUUCAAUAUAAAAAAGAAGUUAGGAAAAAUUUAUUGAUAUUGUUAGUAAUAUUACUUCUAUGAUAUUGGUACUUCAAAAGAAGCAUGAGUUAUUAUAGAAACUAGGUUAAGAUCUCUGUUUUGCGCAUGAUGAAUUUUAUGUAUACAAAUGAUAUUUUUCUAUUUUUAUUAUUUAUUUUGUGUUUAUUUAUUUCAUAUUUAUAUAAUUAAAUUAGAGUAAACACAUAAAUCAAAACUAUACCUCCUUUUAUUUCUAAUUUUUUUCAUAAAUAAAUCAAUCGUUUUAUUUAUUUUAUAUGAAAUAUAAUUAAUUUGAAUGAUAAUGACAUAGAUAUCUAGUAAAAUUUAAUAUAACUUAUUAAUUGAGAUUUCCUACUCAUAUAAUCUUAUUAACAUUUGUAUAUAUUGCUGUAAAAAAAAUUAAACCAUUAAUUACAAAACUUUCAAUGUGAGAUUUAUUUCAAUACAAAAUUUUAAAUUGAAAUAUUAAGGUCUCAAUACUUUUAAAAUGUAAAUUUCAAAAUUAACGUAUUUAUGUAUUUUUAUAUGGUAUAUAGUUUAAUUUAAACGAUAUUAAGAUAUAUAUAUAUAUAUAUAUUUAAUAUGAAUAUCUAUUAAAUGAGACUUUAUAUUCAUACAAUUUUAUGAUCAUUUUGUAUCUUGUUAUAACAAAAAAAAGUAGUUAAACCAUUGAUUACAAAAUUUCAAUAUGGGCUUUUAACAUUUUUUAGUAAUUUAUAGUUUUUUAAAAUUCAUAAUAUAACAUAUAAGAAAGAGUCUAUAUUUUAAGUAUAUGGUUAAUGUGAUUGUAUAAUUUCUUUUAAUAAUAUAAAAUUAAAUAAAAUAGAUGGAGGUUACAAAAAUUGUUAUCAAAUCUUUAUUAUUCAUAAUCAUUAGUUUUCGUAUAUAUGUUAAUCAUAUUAGGUAAUUUCGUAACUUUUAUUUAGAGAAAUAAUGAAAAUAUUCUUUUGAACAUACAUUACUAAUCAAUUUGAUAGUUAGUUUAAUAAUAAGAUAUAAUAUAUGUUUCGAUAGACCAUCUAUUUUUUUAAGGAUCCUAAGCAUCAUUGUUGUAUUAAUACGUGGAUACAAAAAAAUGUUGCAAUGCUUUUCAAAUAUAUAAAUGAUUAUGUGGUUGAAAGAAAUUAGAAAAAUGCAAUGCAGUUAAGUAAUGAGGAACGAUUGAUUUUUGUUAUUAAAAGACGGAAGUCACGAACCACAUUAAUUAAAGUCAUCGAUUACUGACUGAUGACAACAUAUUUGACAAACAAUAAUAGAAGUUACAUAUAUUAACGCAUAAAGUUACAAAAUACAUAUACAUAUUUGACAAACAAUAAUAGAAGCGACGAAAUACAAACAAACACCUAAAACAAUUAAUUUUCAAAUACAGUCCAGGUUCUCCGAAAGUCGUUUGCUUUGAAAUGCUCUUUUUUAACUUAGUCAUAAACAUCUUCAUCUUUAUAACAUUAAUUAUUUCUUUUAUGAACUGGUUUGCCUUUUUUUCUUCAUGAUAUUGGGUUCAAUAGUUCCAACUUUUGCCUUUUGAAUUGUGUAAAUCUAUUUCACUAUUUGUUGACCAUUUGCAAUUCUUGCUUUUCUUUCAUCAUAUCAUUUUUUGUUGUAUACAUUUCCCUUGAAUGAUGACUAACUUAUACAAAAUUGGAAUCACUUGCAUCAUUUUCGUGGAUUCUUUUAAACCCACUUCUGCCUGACUACAAGAACAUAUUUAAUCACAGAUGAUGACGAGCCCCAUUCCAACAUGUUGAAAUGUAUAGUCUUGGCACUUGAACAUAGCUCAUGCGUUUUUUUUGUCAAUAUAUCAUUAUUCUCUGAUCAUCCAUUUUGUUACAUAGACUUUGCUAUUGUCAGUGCCAACCAUUAUUCCGAUAGUUUUUUCAUGUGGUGUAGUAAUUUUUCUAAACGAAGCAAUUACUGUUCUCUAACAAUUUUGAAAACCAACCAAUGCUAACGUCCAUAUAUAUUUUCCGCAGCCUGCACAACAGGAUUAUCAGAACGUAAAUCUCCUGAAUUUCUUUAAGUUCUAGUACCUUAUAAAAUUCUACUAACAAUUUGAUAUCUUUUUAGAUGGUGUAAAUGUAAUAACAUAAGUUGGCUAGAAACUAACCUCCCAAAAAUAGAGGUAUCAUGCAAAUGCUAUAAACACGAGUGGAACAAGUCUUAUGCCUAACAAUUGAACGCUAAUUUCCCAAAAUUAAAGUAACCUAGCUAAUACUUCCUUAAAAAUGGGUCAAACAUUCUAAAAAAUGAGAAGUUGGGAGAAAGUAUGGGCCUUCAACAUAUCUCUCCAUUUAACGCACUAUAUAAAGCAGCAGGUGCGUAGUAAAAAUCUCAGAAAACAAAAAUUAAAAGACAAUAAAAAAUAAAAAUAAAUAAAUAAAUAUGGGUUCAUAUUUGGGAAUCUAUACAAUUUUGGUUCUAUGUUUGCUAAAAUAAAAAUGGGUUCAUAUAUGGGAAUAUGUACAAUUUUUGUUCUAUGUUUGCUGGGAUAUUCAGCCAAUGCUGAGGUGUUCACCGCUGGUGGUCCUCCAAAUUCUGAUAUUACCGCGGUUAGUAUCUUCACUUGUUUUUUAUUACUUGAAUUCCAAUCAAUGUGUAAACCAUUUCUUAUAUUAACAUACUCGUGGGAGCUAUUGUUGCAGGCAGUUCUUAAAGCAUUCACAUCGGCAUGCCAAGCUCCGGCACCAAGCCAGGUGCUGAUCCCAAAAGGUGACUUCAAGCUUGGUGAGACCGUGAUGACUGGUCCAUGCAAAUCUCCAAUCGAGUUCACCUUGCAAGGCAACGUGAAAGCUGACGGUGGCUCUACCCAGGGAAAGGAUAGAUGGGUUGUGUUCGAAAAAAUUAAUGGUUUUAAGUUGAACGGAGGUGGAACAUUUGACGGUGAAGGCAAUGCAGCUUGGAAAGCCAACAACUGCCACAAGACUUUUGAGUGCAAGAAACUUCCCAUCGUAGGUGUUUCCGUCUUUAAUAUAUUAACACCAAUGGCUUUUUUUAAAGAUGAUAUAAUUCAGUGAUGCAUGCUAUCUUUCAGAGUGUAAGGUUUGAUUUUGUGGAUAACGCUGAGAUAAAAGACAUAACCUCAUUAGAUGCCAAAAACUUCCACUUCAACGUUAUCAGCGGCAAGAACAUGACCUUUGAUAACAUCAAGAUCAUCGCUCCAGCUGAAAGCCCCAACACUGACGGUAUCCAUUUGGGAAGAUGUGAGGGAGUCAAGAUCCUCAACACUAAGAUCGCCACAGGAGAUGACUGCAUCUCCGUGGGAGAUGGGAUGAAGAAUCUCCUCAUUGAGAAAGUUGUGUGCGGUCCAGGACACGGAAUCAGUGUUGGAAGCCUUGGAAGGUACGGAUGGGAGCAAGAUGUCACUGACAUUAACGUUAAGAACUGUACCCUUGAGGGAACCGACAACGGUCUGAGGAUCAAGACAUGGCCAUCUGCCGCUUGCACCACCACCGCUGCCGGUAUUCAUUUUGAGGAUAUCAUCCUUAACAAAGUUAGCAACCCAAUCCUCAUCGACCAGGAGUACUGCCCUUGGAACCAAUGCAACAAGAACGUAAGUAUCUUUUAUUAGAUUCUAUGUCUUGCCACUAUCACCGUAUUCUAUGAAAUUGGAUGGCUCAGCAAACAUAUUAUUCUGAUGGUUUUCUAGAUAUUUAGCAUUCACCAUUUUGGUUGAGGUUACAUAUAUAUGAUUAUGAUCCCAAAGUUUUUUUUUCUAUUUGCAGAAACCAUCAACAAUUAAGCUGGUGGACAUUACCUUCAGGAAUAUUAGAGGAACAUCAGGGAACAAGGACGCAGUAAAACUAUUGUGCAGCAAGGGACAUCCAUGUGAGAACGUUGAGAUUGGAGACAUUAACAUUGAGUACACAGGACCUGACGGUCCACCCACUUUCGAGUGCACAAACGUCACACCUAAGCUUGUGGGAACCCAGAACCCAAAGGCUUGCGUUGGACCUGUGGUCAAGGCUCCUGGCAAAGAGUAAAAUGUUGAAGCUCAUAUCAACACACUAGGGCUUCCACAUCCAAUUUUGUUUAUUCUUUUUCUAAUCCUUUUUCAAGUCACGUAAGGGAGACUUUUACAAAGCUGUAACAAAAAAAUGUUUCUAUCCGAUGCCAACACAUAUAUAGAUGUGUGAGUGCAUAAUGAUGUAAUUAAUAAAACUAAAUUAUAUAUUCUGCGUAUGAUUGUUUCUUUUUAAAAUAUUAAUAUGCGCGGUAAGUUGUAUACACUUCAAUCUUAAUUUUGUUUUCUUUUCCGAAUCUUAAAAUUAUUUAACAAGAUCUGAUUUCAACCUUAAGAUUAAUUUAACUAAUACAGUAUUAGUUUUUUUUUUUUUAGAACUCAUUUUAAACUAGAACUCAAAUCAUUUCAAUAAUAGUUCACUAACAUGUAGUAUUCUUUCCAAGUUAUACUGAACUAGAACUCAAAGAUACACUUGUUCAUACAUAACCGAUGCAAGCAUUUGGACAACGAAACAUGACAUCGUCAUAAGUAAUCUGAUUGGAAAUGUAAUUUUCAAUCAAACUUUCGCUCUUUGCUUAUGAUCUCUUUGGAAAAAAUUUCACUUGAUAAUAUGAGGUGCAUACUCUUCCUCUCUACUUUGGUUCAAUGCUCCUUAAACAUGUUGGAUACUUUUUUAGGCUUCAAUAUAAAAAAGAAGUUAGGAAAAAUUUAUUGAUAUUGUUAGUAAUAUUACUUCUAUGAUAUUGGUACUUCAAAAGAAGCAUGAGUUAUUAUAGAAACUAGGUUAAGAUCUCUGUUUUGCGCAUGAUGAAUUUUAUGUAUACAAAUGAUAUUUUUCUAUUUUUAUUAUUUAUUUUGUGUUUAUUUAUUUCAUAUUUAUAUAAUUAAAUUAGAGUAAACACAUAAAUCAAAACUAUACCUCCUUUUAUUUCUAAUUUUUUUCAUAAAUAAAUCAAUCGUUUUAUUUAUUUUAUAUGAAAUAUAAUUAAUUUGAAUGAUAAUGACAUAGAUAUCUAGUAAAAUUUAAUAUAACUUAUUAAUUGAGAUUUCCUACUCAUAUAAUCUUAUUAACAUUUGUAUAUAUUGCUGUAAAAAAAAUUAAACCAUUAAUUACAAAACUUUCAAUGUGAGAUUUAUUUCAAUACAAAAUUUUAAAUUGAAAUAUUAAGGUCUCAAUACUUUUAAAAUGUAAAUUUCAAAAUUAACGUAUUUAUGUAUUUUUAUAUGGUAUAUAGUUUAAUUUAAACGAUAUUAAGAUAUAUAUAUAUAUAUAUAUUUAAUAUGAAUAUCUAUUAAAUGAGACUUUAUAUUCAUACAAUUUUAUGAUCAUUUUGUAUCUUGUUAUAACAAAAAAAAGUAGUUAAACCAUUGAUUACAAAAUUUCAAUAUGGGCUUUUAACAUUUUUUAGUAAUUUAUAGUUUUUUAAAAUUCAUAAUAUAACAUAUAAGAAAGAGUCUAUAUUUUAAGUAUAUGGUUAAUGUGAUUGUAUAAUUUCUUUUAAUAAUAUAAAAUUAAAUAAAAUAGAUGGAGGUUACAAAAAUUGUUAUCAAAUCUUUAUUAUUCAUAAUCAUUAGUUUUCGUAUAUAUGUUAAUCAUAUUAGGUAAUUUCGUAACUUUUAUUUAGAGAAAUAAUGAAAAUAUUCUUUUGAACAUACAUUACUAAUCAAUUUGAUAGUUAGUUUAAUAAUAAGAUAUAAUAUAUGUUUCGAUAGACCAUCUAUUUUUUUAAGGAUCCUAAGCAUCAUUGUUGUAUUAAUACGUGGAUACAAAAAAAUGUUGCAAUGCUUUUCAAAUAUAUAAAUGAUUAUGUGGUUGAAAGAAAUUAGAAAAAUGCAAUGCAGUUAAGUAAUGAGGAACGAUUGAUUUUUGUUAUUAAAAGACGGAAGUCACGAACCACAUUAAUUAAAGUCAUCGAUUACUGACUGAUGACAACAUAUUUGACAAACAAUAAUAGAAGUUACAUAUAUUAACGCAUAAAGUUACAAAAUACAUAUACAUAUUUGACAAACAAUAAUAGAAGCGACGAAAUACAAACAAACACCUAAAACAAUUAAUUUUCAAAUACAGUCCAGGUUCUCCGAAAGUCGUUUGCUUUGAAAUGCUCUUUUUUAACUUAGUCAUAAACAUCUUCAUCUUUAUAACAUUAAUUAUUUCUUUUAUGAACUGGUUUGCCUUUUUUUCUUCAUGAUAUUGGGUUCAAUAGUUCCAACUUUUGCCUUUUGAAUUGUGUAAAUCUAUUUCACUAUUUGUUGACCAUUUGCAAUUCUUGCUUUUCUUUCAUCAUAUCAUUUUUUGUUGUAUACAUUUCCCUUGAAUGAUGACUAACUUAUACAAAAUUGGAAUCACUUGCAUCAUUUUCGUGGAUUCUUUUAAACCCACUUCUGCCUGACUACAAGAACAUAUUUAAUCACAGAUGAUGACGAGCCCCAUUCCAACAUGUUGAAAUGUAUAGUCUUGGCACUUGAACAUAGCUCAUGCGUUUUUUUUGUCAAUAUAUCAUUAUUCUCUGAUCAUCCAUUUUGUUACAUAGACUUUGCUAUUGUCAGUGCCAACCAUUAUUCCGAUAGUUUUUUCAUGUGGUGUAGUAAUUUUUCUAAACGAAGCAAUUACUGUUCUCUAACAAUUUUGAAAACCAACCAAUGCUAACGUCCAUAUAUAUUUUCCGCAGCCUGCACAACAGGAUUAUCAGAACGUAAAUCUCCUGAAUUUCUUUAAGUUCUAGUACCUUAUAAAAUUCUACUAACAAUUUGAUAUCUUUUUAGAUGGUGUAAAUGUAAUAACAUAAGUUGGCUAGAAACUAACCUCCCAAAAAUAGAGGUAUCAUGCAAAUGCUAUAAACACGAGUGGAACAAGUCUUAUGCCUAACAAUUGAACGCUAAUUUCCCAAAAUUAAAGUAACCUAGCUAAUACUUCCUUAAAAAUGGGUCAAACAUUCUAAAAAAUGAGAAGUUGGGAGAAAGUAUGGGCCUUCAACAUAUCUCUCCAUUUAACGCACUAUAUAAAGCAGCAGGUGCGUAGUAAAAAUCUCAGAAAACAAAAAUUAAAAGACAAUAAAAAAUAAAAAUAAAUAAAUAAAUAUGGGUUCAUAUUUGGGAAUCUAUACAAUUUUGGUUCUAUGUUUGCUAGGAUAUUCAGCCAAUGCUGAGGUGUUCACCGCUGGUGGUCCUCCAAAUUCUGAUAUUACCGCGGUUAGUAUCUUCACUUGUUUUUUAUUACUUGAAUUCCAAUCAAUGUGUAAACCAUUUCUUAUAUUAACAUACUCGUGGGAGCUAUUGUUGCAGGCAGUUCUUAAAGCAUUCACAUCGGCAUGUCAAGCUCCGGCACCAAGCCAGGUGCUGAUCCCAAAAGGUGACUUCAAGCUUGGUGAGACCGUGAUGACUGGUCCAUGCAAAUCUCCAAUCGAGUUCACCUUGCAAGGCAACGUGAAAGCUGACGGUGGCUCUACCCAGGGAAAGGAUAGAUGGGUUGUGUUCGAAAAAAUUAAUGGUUUUAAGUUGAACGGAGGUGGAACAUUUGACGGUGAAGGCAAUGCAGCUUGGAAAGCCAAUAACUGCCACAAGACUUUUGAGUGCAAGAA
This 9568-nucleotide long non-coding RNA is filed under the name Brassica napus (rape). Its description in RNAcentral is "long non-coding RNA (BNAP_LNC000971)". The record is from RNAcentral. Lineage: Eukaryota; Viridiplantae; Streptophyta; Magnoliopsida; Brassicales; Brassicaceae.